Molecule: ribosomal RNA, 383 nt
Filed under: uncultured Methanosaeta sp.
Lineage: Archaea; Methanobacteriati; Methanobacteriota; Methanomicrobia; Methanotrichales; Methanotrichaceae
Description: bacterial SSU rRNA
Rfam family: Archaeal small subunit ribosomal RNA
Source: RNAcentral
AGGCUGAAGACCUUACCCGAUUAGCUGAGAGGUGGUGCAUGGCCGUCGUCAGUUCGUACUGUGAAGCAUCCUGUUAAGUCAGGCACGAGCGAGACCCACGUCCACAGUUGCCAGCAUACCCCUCCGGGGUGAUGGGUACACUGUGGAGACCGCCGCUGCUAAAGCGGAGGAAGGAGUGGGCAACGGUAGGUCAGUAUGCCCCGAAUCUCCCGGGCUACACGCGGGCUACAAUGGUUGGUACAAUGGGCAUCUACCCCGAAAGGGGAAGGAAAUCUCUUAAAGCCAAUCGUAGUUCGGAUUGAGGGCUGCAACUCGCCCUCAUGAAGCUGGAAUCCGUAGUAAUCGCGUUUCAACAGAACGCGGUGAAUACGUCCCUGCUCCUU